Molecule: long non-coding RNA, 2687 nt
Filed under: Cricetulus griseus (Chinese hamster)
Lineage: Eukaryota; Metazoa; Chordata; Mammalia; Rodentia; Cricetidae
Description: lncRNA (ENSCGRG00015040298.1)
Source: RNAcentral
CCGCCUACUGUGUCAGUGGACUUCCUGUUGCCUCUGAGUCAAGAUGUAAGCACUCUCAGCUCCAGCACCACAUCUGCCUGCUGGACACCAUGCUUCCCGCCAUGAUGAUAACUGAACCGCUGAAACUGUUGAGAACCGCUGGUAUAAAGGGUUAUUCCAGGAGGACUGGAGAGAUGGCUCAGCAGUUAGGAGUGCUUACCAUGUAAUCAUAAAGACUAGACUUUGGAUCCCAGGCCCAGGACUAAGGUAACCAGAGCAUGUGGGCUCAUGUAUCACUCAGUCUGUUUGGAAGUCCACACUGUGCCUUCCCCAGCCAUGGAGCCCUGGGAAAUACCUUGUUCACACUCCAGAGUCUUGGCCUCUUCAUGUCUACAGUGAGAACGGUGGUACUUACCUGACAAAGUGGGAAGAUGGAACCAUGGCUGUUCAGUGGCUGCCACAGAACAAGGCGCUGAUCUGUGUGGGUGGUGAUUGUAAGUAGAUAUGGCUUUAACAUCUGUGGAAUGUAUGAUUGUGUUGUAGCCUGGAACUGCCACAAGUACCUGCCCAAACAGGAUAUAUUAACCUCAAUCCAGCUUUCCUUCUCUUGCCUUUCUUUUUCUGCUUCAGAAGAUCGUACCCAUGGCCUCACACGUGCUAGACAAGCACUGUCUCAACAAGCCACAAUCCCAGCCCCAGUUUAACUUUCUGCAUCACAAUCUGGCUGUGCCUCAGAGAAGCGGUGCAACCAAGACUUGAUUCUAGAUAAUUAUAAAUUUGUUUUGAAGACAGACAAAUAGAUUUUCUAAGUCGGCUGUGAAAUGGAGCCUGUCUGCAGACAGCUAAGUGGUGUGAGCGUAGUUUUGGCUGAUGGUGGAAGACCUAAAAGACUUUUGUCAUGUCCUGGAUACAGUACUUGGCUCCUUCAGGAAACUGGCAAGUGAUGCCUUGCUUUCACAUCAAGUCAGAGUCACGGCAUUUGUUUUCAUUCAUUAGCUCUGUGAUUGAAUAAGCCGUGACACGGUUCGAUGGAAAUGCAUUUAGCUGGGCUUAGCAGAGCAACAUUUUAAUAUCCCUUUGAAGACUGAUUUUUUUUUCACUAAGAGCAAAUAACUUUUCAUUUAUCCUAAUAUGAUCACCUCAGUCAACCAGAAGUUAUUUAGGAAACAGCCAGGCUGUAUGUCACUUUAUAAAAUAGGGAAAUUGAAUGUCUGACUGUAAGGGCUGUUGAGUGGUGCCUGCCCCAGCUGCUCUCCAGAGCUCUGAAGUCCUGGAUUCCUGGUCUUUCUCCGCUUGUGGUUAGGGAGAAGACAGAAGAAAACUUUCAUUUACGAAGGGACUCUGAAAGCUGAAAGCGUAUCCUGAUCAUCUGCUAGCCUGCUGUAGUCAGCAGUUAAACAAGUGUGAAGGAGACUAGAGGGCCAGGCCAGGAAAAGGAGGAAUGUAGAUAAGGGAUGCUGACUCUGAAUGGCUUGACAUGUCCAUCUCCAUAAAUGAUAUCUUCAUCCAUGAGGUGGCCAUGUGCAAUGGGGAAAGAUCAUGAGCUGGGCAGAUGAAGGCACUGAUUGCCUCCUCCUCCUCCUUUCUUUUUUGAGACAGGAUCUCAUGUAUCUUGCCGGGCUUGAACUAACAAUGCAGCCCAGGAUGACAAUGAACUUUAGUAAGUGUGUGUAGUGUGAGUGUAGCUAUAUGCACAGUGCCACAAGUACAUGAGUGGAGGUCAAAUGACAACAUUGGCUAUAGGUUCGUCCUCAACUUCUUCCUGUUAGAGGCAAAGUCUUCUGCCAUGCGCCACUGUGUGUGCCAGGUCUGCUGGCCUGCAAGCUGCUGGGGAGUCUCCUGACUCUGGCUCUCAUCUUGCCAUAAGCACACUGGGAUUAUGGAUGCACACUGCUCCAUCUCUUUAUUAUAUGGGUUCUGGGGAUCUGAGCUCUGGCCAUGUACCCGGCCCAACCAUCACAUUGUGAUCCUUUUGUCUUGACCUCUCAGAUGCUGGGAUGACAGGCUGGCUCCACCAUACUGUUUAUAUGGUGCCAAGGAUCAAGCCUAGGGCAUUUCGCUUGUUAGGCAAGAGUUCAAUUGUGCUACAACCCCAACUUCCUGAAGAAUACCUUUUUACACUGUCUUUUUCUCAUCUAUUUUUAUGCUUUUACUUUGGAAUCCACACUACCUACAAAUUCCAUCCAGCUUAUUUAUUUACUUAUUUAUUUAUUAUUGUGUCCAUCCUUGCCACACAUGUGCAUUCCAUGGUCCCUAUGUGGAGACCAAAGAACUUACAAGAGUCACUUCUCUCUUUCUGGUGUGUGGGGCCUGGGUAUGGAACUCGGGUUAUCAUGCUUGGCAGCAAGUGACUUUCCCCACUGAACCAUCUCUCUGGAUCCCACUUGUAUUUAUUUAGUCAACUGUGAAGAAAUAUUGUUGGACAUGGCCAUUUUAAAAAUUGAUAAUUAUACACCAAGUUCUUGUGAGAGUAAGAAGAAUAAUGUCUCGAAGGGAAGUAUGAGGCCCCACAUGACUGAGAACCUGAAAGAGGGUUGCAUUAGAAAUGAGGGAAAAUAGCAGGGUGUUGGUGGCACACGCCUUUAAUCCCAGCACUUGGGCGGCAGAGGCAGGUGGAUCUCUGUGUGUUCAAGGCCAGCCUGGUCUACAAGAGUUAGUUCCAGCACAGCCUCCAAAGCCACAGGGAAACCCUGCCUCGGAAAAAAAAA